ACCUUUAUUAUUUUGUUUAUUUUUCUCUAUUGUUAAUGUUUACUGUACUGCUGUCUUUUUGCUGCUGUAGUAAAGAAACGUCCCCAAUUGUGGGACAAUAAAGGUAUACUGAUUCUAAAAAAUCAAUAAUUUGCUGGGGUUUGUUUCAAACAAUCAUGUUCUCUUAUGUCAGGAGAAUUAGAUGAAGCACCACACAGCUUCAUUUAUAUUAUAUGUUCCGACACAUUUUACAUUCAUCAUAAAAAUGUAGCAUCUACGAUUGGGAAAUUGGCCAUAUUGUUAUACUGAUAAUAUUAUAAGUAUUUGUUCAGUACUCAUUAGUAAGUGUUGAGCCAGAAACAUUAAAUCAUUUUGUCAGAAAUCUCUUACAACCUUUGUUAAAUAAUUUCUUGAGCUAAUUAACCAUGGGCUGUCUGUGGUAAGAGGUCUCAUUAGCUCAGUCAGUAAUCCAUUCCUGCCUCACAGGCACAGAGUACAGUAACUUUGUGCUCAAAUGAAAGUUCUUAAUCCAAAAAAAAACUCUAUGGUGGCUUCUUCUAUUUAACAUUAACCCCAACCUGAGGGAAGGAAAUAGGUCAAAUCAAUAAAAUCUGCAGUUAGAACCAGUUUGGAAGUAGAUUUCAACAAAACCUGAUAAAAUGCAAACAGAGUAACCUACAUUAGGAAUAAAAAGAAUGGAAAAAUAAAAUAAAAACUGAAUUAAAUGAAAAAACUAAAUUACAAAGAUGAAUAAUAAAAAAGCUCCAGUAUGUCACUAUUCAACAACUAGCCUAACAAAAUCCAAGCUAGAUUUAGCCUAAUAAAUGUCUAAAAUAUGAUAAUAUCAGUUUGUGUAGAACAGUGUUCUUCAAUCAUGGCUCCCUGCCCCAACACAGCUGAAUAAAAUGAAUGUGUCCUUAUCAGGCUUCAGCAGAGCCUGACAAUCAGCUCAUCAUUUAAAGGUGUGCUGGGGCAGGGAAACAUCUAAAACAUGCAGAGCAGAGGUCCUGGAGGAGCAGGACUGAAGAACACUGCUAUCCAGGGAGCACUACUCAGCCCAGACUCUCUCAAAAUAUCACCACCAAACUGGCGCUAAUACAAUAUGAAUGUCAGGUACGCUCCAUGGAGUGACUACAAGCUGUAAGUCUGUAUUCGGAUGCUGCUCAGAUACGAUAUUGCUCUUUUUGAACCAUCUAUUUUAGUGUAAUGGUGAAAACCAGGUCGGUACAAAAAUUCUUUCAAGUAUUGCAGACACACUUGUUUUCUCCUUAGUUUUGUCUCUAACACCUGUCUAUCUGUUUCUCUCGAGGUGUAAAUGAUCCAGGACACCUUUUUUCAGGUGGUAUCGCUGGUUAAUCCAGCCAAAGAGAUCAUUCUGUCCAAAGUUCCUCCGUUCAUUAGUGAUGAAAUGUUGCACUGGCGAGACAUGGACAGUUAACAUCCAGUCAGGCUGAUACCUCUGGGCUGUAAAUCUCAACACCAGAAACAUGUUGUCUCCUUCAGAAGGCAAAAUCUUCAUGAUUCUGAAGAACAACACUGAAGAGUUAAACUUGAUGUUGAAGUUCAGGGUGGAUGACUUUAAUUAUACUGUUUAUGCGUCUUCUGAGAGGAUGAAGUGUUUUGGCUGUGGAGUGGAGGGACACCUCAUUUGGACCUGUCCACAGAAAAAGGAUGCUUGUACAAGUAAUGGUGAGACUGCAGCACCAGGUCCAGAACAAGAACUCACAGCAGACUGAGCAUCAAGGGGAUGCUGGUUCAGGUUCUGUUGGUUCACAGGCUGGUGGUUCAGGUGCGAUCGGCACAGUUUUUGAUGAUAAUGGUGCUGCUGAGCUGGGUUCCAUUGAUUCAGGUACAGCUGGUCAAGUUUCUAUUGAUUCAGGUGCUGUUGUGGAGGUGACUGAUCAGUCACACUGACAGUAUUAACAGAGACACAGUGGACACACACACUGAAACUAAGGAAUGUCCUCUGGAGGAGGAAGGUGACACGUUGGUUGAUGAAACCUCCAUGAAGAUGAAAGUGAGCAGUGGCGUGUGUCAGCCUUCUGGGAAAGUGAAGAAAGUGUCUCUUCACAGUGACUAUGCUAUGGGAGACAGAAGAAUAGGCAGCUUGAAUAUAAAUGGAGCAAGGGAUGAUGAGAAAAGGGCUUCAACUUCAAAGAAACUUUUGUCUUUUUUAGGAAAAAAUACCAAAGUAUGAAAUUUGAGUUUGUGUCUUUACAACAGUGGUGGGAUUUUGGUAAAGUCCAAAUGGUGCAACUCUGUCAGCAGUACACUCAGAAUGUCAAGAAGGGUCUGGAGUCUGAAGUGGAGGAACUCUGAGACCUAUCUGGGGCCACCGGAGACCUGAACCAUACUGAGACACUGAGAGCUAAAAAGUCUCUUUUAGCCAACUUGCUGGGUGUCUCAGCUCAGGGGAUUCUGGUUUGGUCCUGCUUCCAGACUGUAGCCCAGAUGGAUGCUCCAUCCAUCCAUGCACUUCUUCUUUGGUCUGGAGCGUAAGAAUGGACAGAAAGUCCAGUGCCCAGUGUCAGACAGUUUAAGGUUUGACACUGGGCAGGUGCUGACUGAUCACACUGCAAUCCAAAAACAUGCUGUCACCUUUUACCGUGAGCUGGUCAAAUGUGAGUGCAGACAGGAGCAGGCAGCAUUUCACAGCAUCUACACUGGACUUCCUCAGGCUGAGCAGCAGAGUAGCAGAGUAGCAGCUCUCUCCUCUGAUGAGCUCUAUGCUGCUCUGCAGAGCAUGCAGAGUGGGAAAGCUCCAGGAAUAGACGGCCUACCUGUUUACUUUAACAAGUGUUUCUGGUCGGUGGUGGGAAGGGAUCUGCUUUCAUUUCUGAGUGACAGUCUCACCGCUGAGCUGCAGGAGGGCGUUCCUGACCUUACAGCCUAAGAAAGGUGACCUGCAGCUCAUUAAAAACUGGAGGCCUGUGUCGCUGCUCUGCUCCGACAAUAAGCUCCUUUCCAAGGUGUUGGCGACCAGGCCGAGCAGUGAUUCAGUGUGAUCAGACCUACUGCACCUCAGGCAGGAUGAUAUCUGAUAAUAUCUUUUUAAUUUGUGACAUUUUAGAUAUCAGUAAGAUGUUUGGCCUCAAAGCUGGCAUCAUAUCAACUGAUCGAGAAAAAGCUUUCGAUCGUGUCAAACGUGAAUAUUUAUGGAUUACGUUGAGUUCUUUUGGUUUUAGUCCUGGUUUUAUUGGUAAGAUUAAGGUUUCAUAUUGUGACAUUCAGUGCAUCCUGAAGAUAAAUGAUGGUUUGAGCACAUUUCAUGUUCAGAGGGGAGUUAGACAAGGCUGCACCCUCUCUGGCAUGUUAUACUCUUUAGCAAUUGAGACUUUGUUGCGCAAACUUUAAAAUUGUCAGCCUAUGCAGAUGACGUGGUCAUCCUGGCGGACAGCCAGCAGGAUACUGAUGUGUUGGUAAGAGAUGUCAUCCAGUUCGGCUCAAUACUCUCAGCUCUCAGUGUUGGUGGAGUGGAGAGGAAGCUUAGUUUGCCUGGGGGGUCGAUCUAGAAGACGAGGGGCUGAAAUAUUUAGGAGUGUUUCGGUAAUCCUUCGUUUGCUCUUAACUGGGAGAAUGUUCCCGAAAAAGUUAAAGGCCAUUUAGUAAGGUGGAAAUGGAAGAAAACUAAAAUGUCAUACAGAGGUCGAGUGCUCAUGACCAACAAUUUAGUAUCGUCCACUUUAUGGCAUCGCCUGUCAUGUGUUGACCCCCCCACCUGAUCUGCUGUCAAAGAUCCAGGCUCUUCUUGUGGACUUCUUCAGGGACACAUUACACUGGGUGCCUCAGAGUGUGCUGUAUCUGCUGAGGACUGACGGAGGAAGGCACCGAUCCACCUGAUUAGCAGAAGGAACAGAAUAGAGCCAGCCGUGGAUGAUGAUGAUGAUGCUGUUUUUGUUUUUGUAAAAAUGCUGAAAGCCCGUUUGAAAAUAGAUUUGAAUUAUUAUAGAAUGAUGAAAGAUCUGGAAACAUUUUACAGUGUGUGGUGUUAUAAACAUGUGCUCUGCUGUGUUUUUUAUUGUGGUUUUAGAAUAU
Acanthopagrus latus (yellowfin seabream) is the source of this 4014-nucleotide long non-coding RNA. RefSeq lists it as uncharacterized. The record is from RefSeq and is a predicted model, not a curated record. NCBI's taxonomy places the organism in Eukaryota, Metazoa, Chordata, Actinopteri, Spariformes, Sparidae. The transcript has 2 exons.